UUCGCCCCCGGGCCUUUCAGUGGCGCGGGCCGAGUGGCCAUGGCGCUCGGGUGCGCGCAGUGCACGCGGUGAGCUGGAGACGCAGGCAUUGCGCGGCCCACCGGCUGAGCCCGCUCUCCCUGCGAGGGGGGCGCAGCUCGGUGGAGAGGGUGGCCCGGAGGACCGGGAACCGGGCUGGAGGCGCGCGGGGCUCACACCGCGGGGUCCGCGGGGAGCCGGGCCUCGGGCUGCAGGUGCAGGCUUGUGGCGGGUUAUCACCGGAGUGGGACUGGUGACUUCAUUAGAAGAGGAAGGAAGACCUGAGCUGGCCUGUGAAUAUGCUCCGCCCCCUGGCCAUGUGACACCUGCGCCACCCUCAGGACUCUGCAGAGUCCCCAGCAGCAAGAAGGCCCUCACCAGGUGCAGCCCCUCAACCUUGGACUUCUCAGCCCCCAGGGCUGUAACAAAUAAAUUCUUUUUUAAAGUAA
RNAcentral lists this long non-coding RNA (467 nucleotides) under Homo sapiens (human). RNAcentral's name for it is "HSALNT0331404". The record is from RNAcentral. Lineage: Eukaryota; Metazoa; Chordata; Mammalia; Primates; Hominidae.